GGGGAAUUUUGGACAAUGGGCGCAAGCCUGAUCCAGCCAUGCCGCGUGUAUGAAGAAGGCCUUCGGGUUGUAAAGUACUUUUGUCAGGGAAGAAAAGCCUGAGGAUAACACCCUCAGGUCAUGACGGUACCUGAAGAAUAAGCACCGGCUAACUACGUGCCAGCAGCCGCGGUAAUACGUAGGGUGCGAGCGUUAAUCGGAAUUACUGGGCGUAAAGCGAGCGCAGACGGUUAUUUAAGCAAGAUGUGAAAGCCCCGGGCUCAACCUGGGAACUGCGUUUUGAACUGGGUAACUAGAGUGUGUCAGAGGGGGGUAGAAUUCCACGUGUAGCAGUGAAAUGCGUAGAGAUGUGGAGGAAUACCGAUGGCGAAGGCAGCCCCCUGGGAUAACACUGACGUUCAUGCUCGAAAGCGUGGGUAGCAAAC
RNAcentral lists this ribosomal RNA (425 nucleotides) under uncultured bacterium. RNAcentral's name for it is "bacterial SSU rRNA". It matches the Rfam family "Bacterial small subunit ribosomal RNA", at positions 356 to 773 of the family's 1533-position model. The record is from RNAcentral.